GACGAACGCUGGCGGCGUGCUUAACACAUGCAAGUCGAACGGUGAAGCGCCUUCCUUUUUGGUGGGUGUGGAUGAGUGGCGAACGGGUGAGUAACACGUGAGUAACCUGCCCCCUUCUUCUGGAUAACCGCAUGAAAGUGUGGCUAAUACGGGAUAUUCUGGGUCUGUCGCAUGAUGGGUCUGGGAAAGAUAUUGUUUCGGUGGGGGAUGGGCUCGCGGCCUAUCAGCUUGUUGGUGGGGUGAUGGCCUACCAAGGCGGUGACGGGUAGCCGGCCUGAGAGGGUGGGCGGUCACACUGGGUCUGAGACACGGCCCAGACUCCUACGGGAGGCAGCAGUGGGGAAUCUUGCACAAUGGGAGCAAGCCUGAUGCAGCGACGCCGCGUGGGGGAUGGAGGCCUUCGGGUUGUGAACCUCUUUCGCCAGUGAAGCAGGCCUGCCUCGUUUGUGGGUGGGUUGACGGUAGCUGGAUAAGAAGCGCCGGCUAACUACGUG
This 494-nucleotide ribosomal RNA is filed under the name uncultured bacterium. Its description in RNAcentral is "partial 16S ribosomal RNA". It matches the Rfam family "Bacterial small subunit ribosomal RNA", at positions 28 to 507 of the family's 1533-position model. The record is from RNAcentral.